CCUACGGGUGGCAGCAGUGGGGAAUAUUGGGCAAUGGGCGCAAGCCUGACCCAGCAACGCCGCGUGAAGGAAGAAGGCUUUCGGGUUGUAAACUUCUUUUCUCAGGGACGAAGCACGUGACGGUACCUGAGUACUAAGCCACGGCUACCUACGUGCCAGCAGCCGCGGUAAUACGUAGGUGGCAAGCGUUAUCCGGAUUUACUGGGUGUAAAGGGCGUGUAGGCGGGGACGCAAGUCAGAUGUGAAAACCACGGGCUCAACCUGUGGGCUGCCUUUGAAACUGUGUUUCUUGAGUAGUGGAGAGGCAGACGGAAUUCCCAGGGUAGCGGUGAAAUGCGUAGAUAUUAGGAGGAACACCAGUGGCGAAGGCGGUCUGCUGGAGAGCAACUGACGCUGAGGCGCGAAAGCGUGGGGAGCAAACAGGAUUAGAUUCCCCUGGUAGUC
RNAcentral lists this ribosomal RNA (444 nucleotides) under uncultured bacterium. Its description in RNAcentral is "partial 16S ribosomal RNA". It matches the Rfam family "Bacterial small subunit ribosomal RNA", at positions 338 to 795 of the family's 1533-position model. The record is from RNAcentral.